This 234-nucleotide ribosomal RNA is filed under the name uncultured bacterium. RNAcentral describes it as "partial 16S ribosomal RNA". It matches the Rfam family "Bacterial small subunit ribosomal RNA", at positions 15 to 244 of the family's 1533-position model. The record is from RNAcentral.
GAUCAUGGCUCAGGAUGAACGCUAGCGACAGGCUUAACACAUGCAAGUCGAGGGGCAGCGGGGAGUAGCAAUACUCUGCCGGCGACCGGCGCACGGGCGAGUAACGCGUAUCCAACCUGCCUUACACUCUUGGACAGCCUUCUGAAAGGGAGAUUAAUACAAGAUGUUAUCAUGAGUAAGCAUUUUCGCAUGAUUAAAGGUUUACCGGUGUAAGAUGGGGAUGCGUUCCAUUAG